Long non-coding RNA from Ruditapes philippinarum (Manila clam), 1380 nucleotides. RefSeq lists it as uncharacterized. The record is from RefSeq and is a predicted model, not a curated record. Lineage: Eukaryota; Metazoa; Mollusca; Bivalvia; Venerida; Veneridae. The transcript is spliced from 2 exons.
UAGAUGACCCCUAACGAUUUUGGGGUCAAGGGGUCAAAGGUCAAGGUCACAUUGACCUCUUGGGUAAAAACGGUUUCCGAUCAAUAACAAAAGAACCCUUAGGCCUAGGAACUUCAAACUUGGUAUGGUGAUUGGUUAUGACCAGCAGAUGACCCCUAUUGAUUUUGGGGUUAAGUGGUCAAAGGUCAAGGUCACAUUGACCUUGUAGGUAAAAACGGUUUCCGAUCAAUAACGAAAGAACCCUUAGGCCUAGGGACUACAAACUUGAUAUGGUGAUUGGUCAUGAUCAGUAGAUGACCCUUAUUGAUUUUGGGGUCAAGGGGUCAAAGGUCAAGGUCACAUUGACCUCUUAGAUAAAAAACAGUUUCGGAUCAAUAACUAAAGAACCCUUAGGCCUAGGAACUUCAAACUUGGUAUGGUGAUUGGUCAUGAUCAGUAGAUGACCCCUAUUGAUUUUGGGGUCAAGGGGUCAAAGGUCAAGGUCACAUUGACCUCUUAGGUAAAAGCAGUUUCCGAUCAAUAACUAAAGAACCCUUAGGCCUAGGAACUUCAAACUUGGUAUGGUGAUUGGUCAUGACCAGCAGAUGACCCCUACUGAUUUUUGGGGUUAAGGGUCAAAGGGAAAGGUCACAUUGACCUUGUAGGUAAAAAUGCUUUCCGAUCAAUAACUUAAGAACCCUUAGGCCUAGGAACUUCAAACUUGGUAUGGUGAUUGGUCAUGACCAGCAGAUGACCUAUUGUUUUUAGGGUCAAGGGGUCAAAGGUCAUGUAACAUUGACCUUGUAGGUUAAAACGGUUUCUGAUCAAUUAACUAAAAACGCUUAGGCGUAGGAACUUCAAACUUUGUAUGAUGAUUGGUGGUGACCAGCAGAUGACCCCUAUUGAGUUUUGGGUCAAGGGGUCAAAGGUCAAGGUCACAUCGACCUUGUAAGCAAAAAUGGUUUCCGAUCAAUAAGUAAAGAACCCUAAGGCCUAGGAACUUCAAACUUGGUAUGGUGAUUGGUCAUGAUCAGUAGAUGACCCCUAACGAUUUUGGGAUCAAGGGGUCAAAGGUCAAGGUCCCAUUGACCUUGUAAGUAAAAACGGUUUCUGAUCAAUAACUAAAGAACACUCGGGCCUAGGAACUUCAAACUUGGCAUAGUGAUUGGUCAUGAUCAGCAGAUGACCCCUAUUGAUUUUGGGGUCAAAGGUCAAGGUCACAUUGACCUUGUAUGUUAAAACGGUUUCGGAUCAAUAAUAAAAGAACCCUUAGGCCUAGGAACUUCAAACUUGGCAUGGUGAUUAGUCAUGACCAGCAAAUGACCCCUAUUGAUUUUGGGGUCAAGGGGUCAAAGGUCAAGGUCACAUUGACCUUGUAAGUAAAAACGGUUUCUGAUCAAU